This 785-nucleotide transfer RNA is filed under the name Crocodylus porosus (Australian saltwater crocodile). Its description in RNAcentral is "lncRNA (ENSCPRG00005004293.1)". Lineage: Eukaryota; Metazoa; Chordata; Crocodylia; Crocodylidae. The record is from RNAcentral.
CUCGUGGUGAGCCAGCACCACGUUUCUCCCGUAAUGAGCAAGUGCCAGAGCUGAUUGUCGGUUGGAUGUGUCCAAAAGCAAAGACUCCUCCCCGUCGGGGAAUCGAACCCCGGUCUCCCGCGUGACAGGCGGGGAUACUCACCACUAUACUAACGAGGACAGAGGUUAAGGAGAGACGUACACAAGCUAGACAUUUCAUAGCCUCGGGACGCAUCUACACACGACACAAUGCACAGAAGACUACUUCUACUGCGAAUGAGUGCGACCAAGAAAAACAAUUUGAAGCACUUUCCCUAGUCCCAAGCUGCAAGAAGCACUGCUUCCUGGCUCCAGGCCACAUCACAACCUCACCCCCUGCAACAAAAAGAAGACUUGAAUGGGCUUGUCCUAUCAGCAUCCACAUGUUGACAGCAUUUCAUAGAAGCAGGAUGUUGGAUGCAAGGAUCCCGUGCUUUACCUGUGGCAGGGCUGACAGUUCUCUUCUGCAGAGUUUAGAUUAUGGUUGUAUUGGAAGGUUUGGGUAGAAUGAUACAGGCAGGCGGCUGGAUUAGCUCAGUGUUUCUCAACCCAUGGAUUGUGACCCAAAAGCGGGUCACAAGAAUAUAUGAACGAGUCCCAAACAAACUUUAAAAAUGAAUUCUGCUUUAAAGAAGAAAAAAGGGGAAAGCCAUGGCUUUUCCCUUGCAGCUGGCAGAGCUCCGGUUUGCAAGGGACUGCUUGGGGCCCCUUAUGUGCAACACACUGGUGGGGAGUGAGAGGCACUGGGUCAGAACUGGCUAUCUAAG